RNAcentral lists this ribosomal RNA (494 nucleotides) under uncultured bacterium. Its description in RNAcentral is "partial 16S ribosomal RNA". It matches the Rfam family "Bacterial small subunit ribosomal RNA", at positions 28 to 507 of the family's 1533-position model. The record is from RNAcentral.
GACGAACGCUGGCGGCGUGCUUAACACAUGCAAGUCGAACGGUGAAGCGCCUUCCUUUUUGGUGGGUGUGGAUGAGUGGCGAACGGGUGAGUAACACGUAAGUAACCUGCCCCCUUCUUCUGGAUAACCGCAUGAAAGCUUGGCUAAUACGGGAUAUUCUGGGUCUGUCUCAUGAUGGGUCUGGGUAAGCUAUUGUUUCUGUGGGGGAUGGGCUCGCGGCCUAUCUGCUUGUUGGUGGGGUGAUGGCCUACCAAGGCGGUGACGGGUGGACGGCCUGGGAGGGUAGCCGGUCAGACUGGGAGUGAGACACGGCCGAGACUCCGACGCGAGGCAGCAGUGGAGGAUAGGGCGCAGUGGGGGCAAGCCUGAUGCAGCGAGGACGCGUGAGGGAUGGAGGCGUUCGGGUUGUGAACCUCUUUCGGUAGUGAAGCGGGCCUGCCUGGUUUGUAGGUGGGUUGACGGUAGCGGGAAAAGAAGCCCCGGCUAACUUCGUG